UAAAAGUGGGUAUAUGAGUGAAAAAGUGGUGCCGUGAGAUAUCCAUUGUGUGAUGCCCAAACGGAGGUUCAAUGUGGGCGUCAGAUGCUUGGGCAGCUGAGCUGAUGUGAAAUAGAGCUGUCCAGGGCUCUAACCCCAACAGCUAUUGCAGCGUGAUAUGACACAAAGUAACAGGGUUUUUUGUUGUUUUUGUUUUUAAAGAAAGACAUCUCAGUGGAAUAGGCUAGAAAGCCCAGACACAGAUCCCUGCAAUAUUUCCCACUGUGGCUUAUGAGAGCAGAGACAUCACAAACUAAUGGGGACUAGAAGGGUUUCUCAUUGAGUGGGGCUAGAAAAUGAUUUUUAUCUGGGAAACAAAAAGCAAUUUUUACCUCCCUUUAUACUAACACUGAAACCGAUCGAUGCCAGGUGAUUAAGGAGCACACUUGUUGUGACGUGCACUGGCAUAUGGGAGAGUUGAAUCACCACAUUGUACACCUGAAGCUAUGAUCACACUGUAUGUUAACUAACAGGAAUUUAAAUAAAUAAAUAAAAACCAAUGCCAGGUGAUUUAAAGAGUUAACCCCCCCCCCCCACACACACACAAAAGCGUACUACUCACUAGGAAAAAAAUGGAAACGAUUCAUUAUUCAAACUGUGAUUAAGGGAGGCCAUUGUAGCUUUCAUAGCAAUAGAGAGAAUUAUAAUGGAAAAUACAAACAUAAUUGACUAUAGGAAAUGUAAAGCUUUUCUGUGUUGAAAAUUCUCAUAAAUAAAACAUUCACAGAAGGCAGUAGGAAUUUUCAUAAUGAAAUGUUGGGGCAAUAAAAGGCGGUAAGGGUCCAUUUAUAAAAGAUGAAGUUCAAAAGGCAAAUUCAGUUGCAAAUGUUGAAUUUAGUCAUAAUAAAAUAACCGUAAAUUAGGAUGGAGAGAUACCGCUUUGCGCCCGUCGAAGGAAUGCUAUAGAACAAGAGGCUCGCAGCGCUGGCUCUGUCCUGGUGGCAUGGGGCUUCUUGUACACAGCUGGCAGGACUCUGAAGGAGCAAACCUUUCUGGAAAGCAAUUUGCUUAAGAUGUGUGAAAAGCCUCGAAAAGGUUCACACUGUUUGACUUGGGAGUUCCAUUUAUAGGAAGCUCAUCCCAAGAAAGUGAUCUAAAACACUGUCCCAAGCCUGGUACGGAAAGAUGUGCACUGCGGUUUGAUUUAUAAAGGUAAAGAAGAGAAAAGGAAAAAAAGAAAGAAAGAGAAAAAAGAAAUUCUCCACAACUCCAGCCCCAGAAGAAUGGUUAACAAAAUUAUGUUUCAUUCAUUAAGUGGAUUAUCAGACAGCCAUUAAACGUAAUAAUUACAAAGAAUGUUGACUAACAUGGUGAAAUGCUUAGCAUAUAAUCAGUGUGAAGGGGUGGCACAAGAUUAUAUAUAUUAUAAGUAUUUACUGUAAACAAAUGCAUUAAAAAAAUUUCUGAAGAAACGUGCUCUUCACAUGCAUUUUCACAUAGCAUGGCAGUUCCUGGGAUUCUUGUCAAGAUUUUUCUGUUCCUCAUUCUUUCGUUACGCUCCAAAUUUUCCAUAAUGUUCACGUAUCACUAUUUUAUGGGAACAUAUUUCAAAAGAACACAAGAGAACAGGAAUAGUAUAAUGAACACAAUAUACAAUAUACUUACUAUCCAAGAGCAUGUAUCACCUUCAUAGUAGGAAAAGCAAGAAAAAAGAAAAAAAAAGAGCCAGGUCCUAAGGGACUGCUGGUACCUGCAUUGGGCAAGUUUUGGAGGUGGGUGGAGGAUGGGCUGGAAAGGAAAGGAAAUGGUCCAGGGUCUGGAAGGCUACCCCAGCGGGUUCCUUUUUCAAAGAGUUGAGAUACAAGGACCUCUGUGCUCCUAGUGACUGGUGCUCUUCAUUUGAAAUGCCUUUCCUAGAAUAUGGCAGGUUCCCUUUGGACAUGGAUUUGAUCCUGAACUCUGAGUUGCCUAGGUCAGCAUGUCUAUUCCUGACCAUGCUGUUGAAUUGCUGUUGCUUUGUCAGAUGCUACCUAGUAGGACAAAUCCAGUCCUUUUACUCCUACUAUGUGCCCACCACUUGUUUUUCUUUCUCAAAAUUCUCUUAGUUGUUCUUGCCGAUCUCCUCUUCCAUAUGACCUUUAGAAUCAGCCUAUUAAGUUCCACUUAAAAAUCCUGGUGGGAUUUUGAUUCAGAAGGCAUUGAAUUUGUCCGUUAAUUUGGAGAGAAUUGACAUCUUCAACAAUAUCGAGUCUUCAGGACCCUAACAUUUCAAGGGUGGUUGAGUCAGAGCCUCUGAUUAAUGAGACUGGGAAGACAAAGUCGUCAUAGAGACGGGUUAAAAACAAGGAGAGAGUGUUGUCAUGGAAACCAAGAGAGCCAAGCGUUUCAAGAAGGCGAGAGUGAUCAACAAUAUCAAGCCCUGCAGAGAAUUCCAAUAAACCAGGGAUGGAAAAACACCCAGUGCAGUUGCGACCCAGCCCCUCUGCACCCCAGGAUGAGCCCCACAGAAGCUCCUGUUCGAAAGUUGGUUGCUGCAGGAAACCAAGACCAGAGUCCAAAGCAAGAGUUAAGAAAGAUGAAAGCAGUGUGUGCGUCUUUAAGAGAAGCCGUCCAUCAGAGGGCUUCCUGGAGCUCGAGGUCCACCCAAUCCUCCUGCAUAUCAACACAUAACUCAAGGGGUGCCUGGGUGGCUCAGUCAGUUGGGCAUCUGCCAUCAGCUCAGGUCAAGAUCUCAGGGUCCUGGGAUCCAGCCCCAUAUCCGGCUCCCUGUUUAUCAGGGAGUCUGCUUCUCCUUCUCCCUCUGCCCCUCUCUACCCUACUUGUGUAGAGAGGGGCUACCCUACCCUACUCGCUCUUUUGCUCUUUCUCUCUCUCUAAAAUAGAUAAAUAAAACCUUUAAAAAUA
Long non-coding RNA from Canis lupus familiaris (dog), 2883 nucleotides. RefSeq lists it as uncharacterized. The transcript has 2 exons. The record is from RefSeq and is a predicted model, not a curated record. Lineage: Eukaryota; Metazoa; Chordata; Mammalia; Carnivora; Canidae.